Molecule: ribosomal RNA, 406 nt
Filed under: uncultured bacterium
Lineage: Bacteria
Description: partial 16S ribosomal RNA
Rfam family: Bacterial small subunit ribosomal RNA
Source: RNAcentral
AUUGAACGCUGGCGGCAGGCCUAACACAUGCAAGUCGAACGAGUGGCGGACGGGUGAGUAAUGUCUGGGAAACUGCCUGAUGGAGGGGGAUAACUACUGGAAACGGUAGCUAAUACCGCAUACCAUCGGAUGUGCCCAGGUGGGAUUAGCUAGUAGGUGGGGUAAAGGCUCCCCUGGGCGACGAUCCCUAGCUGGUCUGAGAGGAUGACAAGCCCAACGGGAACUGAGAAACGGUCCAGACUCCGACGGGAGGCAGAAGGGGGGAAUAUUGCAAAAUGGGCGCAAGCCGGAUGAAGCCAUGCCGCGUGUAUGAAGAAGGCCUUCGGGUUGUAAAGUACUUUCAGCGGGGAGGCGUUACCCGCAGAAGAAGCACCGGCUAACUCCGUGCCAGCAGCCGCGGUAAUUC